Molecule: ribosomal RNA, 465 nt
Filed under: uncultured bacterium
Lineage: Bacteria
Description: partial 16S ribosomal RNA
Rfam family: Bacterial small subunit ribosomal RNA
Source: RNAcentral
GACGAACGCUGGCGGUGUGCUUAACACAUGCAAGUCGAACGGUAAGGCCCUUUCGGGGGUACACGAGUGGCGAACGGGUGAGUAACACGUGAGUAACCUGCCCUCAUCUCUGGGAUAACAGUCGGAAACGGCUGCUAAUACUGGAUAUGAGCUUGCAAGGCAUCUUGUGGGUUGGAAAGAUUUUUUUGGUUGGGGAUGGACUCGCGGCCUAUCAGCUUGUUGGUGAGGUAGUGGCUCACCAAGGCUUCGACGGGUAGCCGGCCUGAGAGGGCGACCGGCCACAUUGGGACUGAGAUACGGCCCAAACUCCUACGGGAGGCAGCAGUGGGGAAUAUUGCACAAUGGACGGAAGUCUGAUGCAGCAACGCCGCGUGCGGGAUGACGGCCUUCGGGUGUAAACCGCUUUCAAUUGUGACGAAGCUUUUUGUGACGGUAGCAGUAGAAGAAGCACCGGCUAACUACGUG